Oncorhynchus keta (chum salmon) is the source of this 1080-nucleotide long non-coding RNA. RefSeq lists it as uncharacterized. Lineage: Eukaryota; Metazoa; Chordata; Actinopteri; Salmoniformes; Salmonidae. The transcript has 3 exons. The record is from RefSeq and is a predicted model, not a curated record.
GGGUUAGAGCUCUGUGCUUUAAGGGUAGUAGACUGAGGGUUGGGUUAGAGCUCUGUGCUUUAAGGGUAGUAGACUGAGGGUUGGGUUAGAGCUCUGUGCUUUAAGGGUAGUAGACUGAGGGUUGGGUUAGAGCUCUGUGCUUUAAGGGUAGUAGACUGAGGGUUGGGUUAGAGCUCUGUGCUUUAAGGGUAGUAGACUGAGGGUUGGGUUAGAGCUCUGUGCUUUAAGGGUAGUAGACUGAGGGUUGGGUUAGAGCUCUGUGCUUUAAGGGUAGUAGACUGAGGGUUGGGUUAGAGCUCUGUGCUUUAAGGGUAGUAGACUGAGGGUUGGGUUAGAGCUCUGUGCUUUAAGGGUAGUAGACUGAGGGUUGGGUUAGAGCUCUGUGCUUUAAGGGUAGUAGACUGAGGGUUGGGUUAGAGCUCUGUGCUUUAAGGGUAGUAGACUGAGGGUUGGGUUAGAGCUCUGUGCUUUAAGGGUAGUAGACUGAGGGUUGGGUUAGAGCUCUGUGCUUUAAGGGUAGUAGACUGAGGGUUGGGUUAGAGCUCUGUGCUUUAAGGGUAGUAGACUGAGGGUUGGGUUAGAGCUCUGUGCUUUAAGGGUAGUAGACUGAGGGUUGGGUUAGAGCUCUGUGCUUUAAGGGCAGUAGACUGAGGAUUGGGUUAGAGCUCUGUGCUUUAAGGGUAGUAGACUGAGGAUUGGGUUAGAGCUCUGUGCUUUAAGGGUAGUAGACCGAGGGUUGGGUUAGAGCUCUGUGCUUUAAGGGUAGUAGACUGAGGGUUGGGUUAGAGCUCUGUGCUUUAAGGGUAGUAGACCGAGGGUUGGGUUAGAGCUCUGUGCUUUAAGGGUAGUAGACUGAGGGUUGGGUUAGUGCUUUAAGGGUAGUAGACUGAGGGUUUCUAAAUGGGAAAGUUAAACGGCCAAUAUUUGGCAGUGGACAGUCGAGACACGCAGGAUUCAUUUGAGACUUUUGAACAUGGCCGAGUUAUGACAAUUUACUGACCUCGUCCCUUUAUUUGCUGUCAUCAUUCUCCCCCCUCCUUCCACAUUCAUACAUUCCUAUUCAGAAUGACUAAUUUACUU